Long non-coding RNA from Musca domestica (house fly), 1061 nucleotides. RefSeq lists it as uncharacterized. The transcript has 2 exons. The record is from RefSeq and is a predicted model, not a curated record. NCBI's taxonomy places the organism in Eukaryota, Metazoa, Arthropoda, Insecta, Diptera, Muscidae.
GUUAUGUGUGCAUUUGCUCGGCAUACGAUUAGGCCAUCCGACUGUCACAGAGACUCCCAGGGCUAGGGAUCUCAACCCGCCAAUCGAAUCCAACACACUAACAUUGAAAGGGGACUUUACUACAAUUGCUCUACUCUACGAUAUACAAAAUAGGAGUCAUCAUACAGGGAUCUCGGUGGAUCGAUCCCACACUCGCCCACCCUACCUGGAUCCAGUAUUUCCAUUUCUUGCGUUUCUCUGAAUCCCCUUGAACCACAUAAAUUAAUUUAUUUUUCUAAUCUGUCCAUCAGAUCUGUGAAACAUGUCUUGCUGGUUCGCCUGAUAAUUCUCGAUCCGACACCCUGAAAAUAUCGUGUCACUACCAAACAUCGAUCGAGUUCCGAGUCCGGGAAACUCGCUGGUAAUUCCCCUAUAACAGGUCAACAUUUGGGAAGAUCAAAAACGCUCAUAAAUUUUACAAUACGCAUUCGGUUAUUUAUAAAAUCCCGCAUUCAGUAUUUCUACUAAGACAAGCUCAGAGGAACGGAUGGGAUUUAUCGACCCACUCCUUUGGGACCUUCACUACAAAAAGGUAAACAUCCGGAACAACCCAAUAAUUCUAUCAACCCAAGACCUUGUGUGGAGUUGGAAUAUAUUUGUCCUCUCCGGCGGAUCUACACUGGUAAUACCCACCAGCUCUCAAUGAAAAAUUCUCCGAUUCCAUCAAAAUUUCACACAUUCUUCUUGGUUAUGGAUAUAAUCUUCAAAGUUGGAAUCUAUACGUACUUUGAUACACAAAUAAUUUGAUCAAAUUAUUGAAAUCAUGGUACAAUAAAAAGGUGGUGAAACAUUUUGCAUGCGGAAAUAUUUGUGCCUAUGCCUGUCUUGUCGUCGUGGUUGCCGAAGAACGGAUUUUGUAUGCGGUAUAUGCUGAUGUGAUUGAUAGGUAAACAAAUACCAUAAUCGUGGUGUCUACGUGAUUGUCUGGUAGAAUGUAGUUUUAUGUAUGUUCGCUUUUUAUGUAUGGGAAUCUUUCAUUAAUUUAUGCCGGAAUAAACCAGAUUGUGCUAUUUUUAUCGCCA